UUGACUUCUUUUCUCUCGUUCGUCCACCGUCGGCAUCAUUCAACAGUGUGCGAGUUGUGAGAGAGAGAGAGACAGAGAUGGGGAGGGGAGGGCGAGCACGGCAGAACGCGAUGAGGGCGGGCCUGGUGGUGGUGGGAGCCGUAGCGUUCGGCUACCUCUCCUUCCAAGUGGGUUUCAAGCCCUACCUCGAGCGUGCACAGGAAGCCUUGGACCGACUCCACCAAGGACACCCCAGCGAUGGAGACAAUCCGACGUCGCCUCCCGGUGCUUCUUCUGUCGAUGUCCCUCGAAAUGGCGCUCUGUAACAAGGGAAAACGCUCCCAAAUCCCAUCAUUUGUUUGUUCCUCAUUUGCGAUAUCUUGAUGAACUGUGAUUUCACUUUGACCAGUCUUUUGUCGACGUAACCUUCUAUUUAUCUGGCAGUAAAUCGAAACAUUUGCUUUUUUCUGCUGUAAUUUCUCAUUUUGUUCAUAAAAAAAAAGUAUCUACUUUAUGAAUGAAUAGCUGAAAAUUGCUAAAUUUAUUAUUUUGCAACUUGGGGAUUAUUUCGAGUCAACGCAAGAAUUGGUUAGGGAUUACUUGGGGAUUUACUUGAUGUCAUCACAUGUGAAGGAUGUGAGAUACCGAUACCAUCUCAUCUGGGAUGACAAGAGAGUUGGAAUUAGCAUGAUUUUUUGUGGGACACAAAAUUCCUGAUUUCAAAAAUAAAUGACUGUUUGAGGAAUAAAUAUAGCUGGUAACUUUAUUUUGUUUCUUAUCAAUCCUGCCACUGUAUUAUUGUUGGCUGAAGUCUUGGUAAGUAGAAGAAUGGAAUGGACCAUCAACCUUUUAAGCUAUAGUCUUGACGGGUCAAGGGAAAUUAUAUUGUCAUAAGAUUGCUGAUGCAUAUUGGCAAUGCAAAGGUUUGGAUAUUAUUGUAAUAUUUUCAUUUAUUGUGUUACGAGGGAGAAGGGGGGCCAAGAAAGUACACGAAUUAGCCAGAGUGAAUAGGGGAAGUGUAGUAAUAAAUGCAGAUCAUGAAGCUGAUUAAUGAUCAUUGUCACUUCUAACAUGUCAGAAGAGUAGGGUUAAGGUUUAAACAGAAAAAUAUUUCAAACAUCUUGAUAUACUGGUUGGCACACGACUACUAUCUAUAUUUAUGGCAUCUAGGUGAAUUAUUUAAUUUCUAAUGAGUAAUAGAAGCUGGCAAGUGAUAUUACUAGAAUGGAAGCAAACCUAAACCUGUGAAAUGUAAUUGCAGGAAAUUUUAUACACUUUGUGGAUGUCAUCAUAUUCAUAAAUAAUUUACCUUGGAUCUUUUCAACUUGGGCAGGUCAUAGCAAUACUUGGCAAAUGUCUUGCAGCAUGUAAAUAUUCCAGCAAGAAUCCACAAUAAAAACACCAGGUUGCUUUCAAUGAUAACCUGUAGCAUUGGUGCUUUCUGCCUAGACUCUACCACCAUCUGAUGUGUUCUUGCAUUUCAUCUCAUCAUGACCAAUCCUGUUCUUUUAUUAUUUUUCUCAACCACAAACAGGCAAUAUAGCAUGUUACUUUCUAUUGCACUUAUGAGCUACAAUGCAAAGUUGAAAAAUGCUAAUAUGAAUAGUUUGGCAAUUUGAUAGAUGUGAUUGCCCUAUAUUUAUUUUGGAAGACAUAUUUAGUGGACUACAGCUGUUUCAGUGGAGUGCAAUUUGAUAGAAAACACAUUCUUUAUUUUGAAAAGGUAUCUCUAUGAUGUGAUUUUGGUACAGUCCUUUUUAUCUUAAAAGUACUUAUUCUCUAAUAUCUAUUUGAGGAGUUGCUUUGACAUUGGAAUAUGUAGUUUUGGUUGUGCCAGCCCAGAAUACAAUAGUAAAUUGGUGAUCUCAGUUUUGUUUCCUGAUUGUGGCCACUACAUUAUCUUUAUAGCUUUAAGUCGUUCUACUGAUAUGUAUUACAUGCUUCAUGUAAAUGCGAAUUACCAUGCUUAAGCUUUGAGAUUUUUGCUAGUUGGUUUGAGACUAUUCUACUAUGUGAAGACUUCAAACCAUAAUUCUUUCCAGUAAUCAUGUUGGAAAUAUUUGGUGAUCUCCUUACUUUCAUGAAGAUGAAGGAUCGUGAAUUUGCUUCAAUGAUUCUGUGAUUUAUCAUUUAUUUGCUUGUGUUCUCAUGAAUUUUUUUGGUGCUUCCUACAGGUUCACUUGACUUUUUUUAAAGAUGCCAUUGAUGAUAAGAGUCUUGAAAAAAAUGAUCCUGUGAAUGAUAUUUACCCGAGAUGUGGAUUUGUUUUGUUGUAAUGCAUGCAUCUUCACCUUCUUUUUCCUCUCCUCCUCCUUUCAAUCACAUUUAGCAGCAGCGGCAACAGUUCAGUCCCAGUGGUAGCAGUAAAGGAGGUUCAGCAGUAGUAGUAGGUGGCAUAGGAAUCCUGUAAAUAAGCAUUGACCUUAAAACAGUGUCUUAGCUAUCUGCUGAGGAUAUUUAGAAAUAAAUACUUCUCUUUUCUUUUCUUUUUCUUCUAUUCUGCCUCCAACCAGAGAAGCAGAUUUAUGAAUGACAGUGGGCCAGCAGGAUACCACCUUAAGCCUUUAUGAAAUGGGGAAUUAUAGAAUACUUUCAGGAUCUGUGCUGAUGGAAGCAUCCUUGGCAUUGCUUUUAAAGCAUCGAAUAAUGUCUCCUUGUCAAACUCUAGCGAAUCUCAAAUAUUCUGCCAUAGCAUCAGGCAAGGGACAGGAGUUGGUUUGCUGCUACCAAGAAGGCUGCUGCUGCUUUUUGACAUCAGAGAAGCACAAGAAGAAGGUAUUUUGGGAGCAUUCUUUGAUAUGGUCUUGCUACAUGACCCGGGAGCAUGAUCAGACUUCUGGCUCGCAUCCAUUCCUGCUGCAUAACUCUUGCACGGCUUUAUCUUCCUUCUGCAUGGAGUCUCCUUCUUUGGCAGAUCCUCGAUGCUGCUAACCACAGACAGUGAUGUGUAGGACUGUGAUUUGCCUUGAUAGUACUUGGACAGCCCUCUCCUGCAAUUUCAUCAAAACUUGUUGAGAUGAAGCAGAAGACUCUUUCAGAUACUCACUUGAUGGGUAGCUGCUCCAUGAGUGAAGAUAGUUCAUAUAGAGGUCCAUUUGAAUUCAUCUUUGGUGGCAGCCAGGAUGACUCGGCUGAUGGUGAGGAAGAAGCUGCUCCUUCUGUGGAGUCAUCAUUGUCGUCGCUGUCAUCAGAGUUACUCGGAAAGGAGUCAGAAUUGAAUAGCUCUUCAUCAUAGCUUUGCUUGAGACCUUCACCCAUGUACAAACUUAGAGAUGGCUUUUUGCUGGUUAUGGAAGAACUUCUGAAAUGGUUUGAAGGAUGUAGACGCUUUCUUUCUGGUUUAUUUCUCUCUCUUAACAAUGUCAUCUGAGUCCAAUCACUGGUAUACCACAAUAUAUAGCUCAAGGCUUUAAUGCUCCCAGGGAAAUUCUGUGUGUUUGUGGUUAUUCUGAAUUGUGACCACAGUACCUUGUUACUAUCAAGUAUGUGGAUGGAAUCCAUGGCCUUUUUCUA
This is a long non-coding RNA of Musa acuminata AAA Group (dessert banana), 3492 nucleotides long. RefSeq lists it as uncharacterized. The record is from RefSeq and is a predicted model, not a curated record. NCBI's taxonomy places the organism in Eukaryota, Viridiplantae, Streptophyta, Magnoliopsida, Zingiberales, Musaceae. The transcript has 3 exons.